RNAcentral lists this long non-coding RNA (734 nucleotides) under Linum usitatissimum (flax). Its description in RNAcentral is "long non-coding RNA (LUSI_LNC004132)". Lineage: Eukaryota; Viridiplantae; Streptophyta; Magnoliopsida; Malpighiales; Linaceae. The record is from RNAcentral.
GAAGGAGAAGGCCAGAGACUGACAGGUGGGAGAUUUGAAUAUUGAUCAUUUUGAACUUUUUUCCCCCAAAAGCAUCCAUAUUGACACACUAGAGAUCAAAGCUUCAUUUCAAGCUUAGCCAAUACAAUGAGGUAAAUCUAACAAACUUAUAUCGGAAAUCGGAUAAUGAAGAGCCACUCUUUUUCUUUAAACAAAAGAAAGAGAGUCUCUAUUGCUAGAAGGUGAGCAACACGAUUAUCCUGACGAGGUACGUGCACGAUGUACGCAUUAGGUAGGGGGUGAGAACGACCGCCGAUCCACACCGAGUAGGAUGCCUACGUGUGCAUUAGUAGUGAAUAGUCAGACUGAAUGGAUAAUUGAAGUCGUCCAUGCAUGCAACAUCAAGAUCGAGAGCGGAUAAAACUAGAGGACCAGAUAAAUGUGGGUGCACCUGGCCGGAAGCGGAAACCAUAGAGCCAUAGAGGUCGAGGUGAACUACACCCAGAGCCCCGAAGCGAGCGUUGGAGAUAGUAGCCGAACCAACUGUUGCAUCGGCAAAGAUAUAUCAUGCUGACAUUGGAGGAGCUUGAAGCAUCGUCGCACGCACAUCCGGUAAACGAUAGGAACCAACGUUGCUCUGUCGAUGAUUAUCACCAAAGCCUCCGUCCAUUAUGCUGAAAAUUAUAGAGCCAAACACUCGAUAGAGCGUUGAUAUUGGGAAAAGACUAUCAUACACUUAGACUUCCAAAGGCACC